Molecule: transfer RNA, 71 nt
Filed under: Ictidomys tridecemlineatus (thirteen-lined ground squirrel)
Lineage: Eukaryota; Metazoa; Chordata; Mammalia; Rodentia; Sciuridae
Description: Spermophilus tridecemlineatus (thirteen-lined ground squirrel) tRNA
Rfam family: tRNA
About the family: Transfer RNA (tRNA) molecules are approximately 80 nucleotides in length. Their secondary structure includes four short double-helical elements and three loops (D, anti-codon, and T loops).
Source: Rfam by way of RNAcentral
GGGGAUAUAUCUCAGUUGGAAGAGUGCUUGCCUAGCAUGCAGAAGCCCUGGGUUCAAUCCCAGCACCAUCA